This is a long non-coding RNA of Lynx canadensis (Canada lynx), 1437 nucleotides long. RefSeq lists it as uncharacterized. Lineage: Eukaryota; Metazoa; Chordata; Mammalia; Carnivora; Felidae. The record is from RefSeq and is a predicted model, not a curated record. The transcript has 2 exons.
UUCCUUCUACGUGGGGCAUUCUGGUGGGGCUGGCCGGGGUGGAGAAGGACCCCUGACCUUUAACCCCGGACACACAUUGAUUCCGUCGGCCUUCCCAGAAGGCGGAUCCUGACUUGCGUCCUAGGGCGGUGCCCGGGUUCGAGGGUAUUCCCGGCAUGGUGGGGCGGGUCUUGGUCGGGGUGAAUGCCCACCUAGAGGGUGUUUACGGGUUGUGCCCGGUGGUGAGGGUGCCCCGGCUGGGGGGGGGGGGGGUGUCCUGCUAGGAGUGGGUGCCGACUGUGUGCCGACUGAGAAGGCUGCCCCGAUGGGGGGGAGGGGAAUGUUCCGACGGGAGGAUUGCCCCAACUUUGGGAGGAUGUCUCAAUGAGGAGACUUGCCUCCGUCUGGGGUGCUUCGGUUAGGAGAGGUGCCCUGAUUAGGGGUAAUGUCACAGCUGGUGGGUGCUCUGGCCAGGGUCCGUUUCUUCUGUGGGAGAGUAUGCACUGAUUAGAGAAGGUGGCCCGCUAUGAAAGUGUGCUCUGGAUGGGGACAGUGUUCUGAUUGGAAGGCUGGGGGUAGAAUGGGGAUUGUCCCAAUGAGGAAGACUGCCCCCCGCAGUCUGGAACGGGGUUCUCCAGUUAGGUGUUCCCAGCCUGGGCAGCCUCCCUGAUCACCCCAAGCUCCUUGAAUCGGCACCUACCCAGCAGCCUGCCUCCCAGUUUUGCACGGGGAAGAUCUCAGCACACCCAGUCGCCUUCAUGGACAGCAUCACAUAAACUGGCUUCGCCACCCCCCCGCCCCCCAUGGUCAGACUGAAUUCUAUCAUCUUCUGGCAGUUGAAGAAAGAUGUAUAGACCGAAACUGGGGUUCUCUGACCGGUCUUUGCAACAAGAACUGAGGAGGCUCUGAGUUGAAGGCUAACCUGCUCCACCCCCUUGCACAUGCGGGCUCACUCUCAUGGGACGCCAGAAAAAUUACUCUACUAAGGUGGACACUGACAGUCACACAGGUGCAAAGGAGGAAAUGGACGACUGCCCCAGUCCCCGGGGAGAGGCUGAUCCCGAGGCGGAGGCUGCGAGGAACGGCCGGGCAGCAGCAGGUCCUGAGUGCGCCGGGCCAGGCCAGGAGCAAAGGCACGAGGCCCUGGGCGCCCGGUCCCAGGGCAGAGGUCAGCCCACCCGGAAAAGGCGGCACAGGGUCAGCUCCCGGGCGUCAGGCUGGGAUCUGCACCGCCACAGCUCUGCUCAUAGGAUGGCGGGGCCUCUGCGGGGAAAGAGCAAAGUCUGCAAGGGGCUCCUGGGGCCCUCUCCCCCAGCCAGACCCCAGGCCUCUCACUCACCAUAGGGAUAACCCCAUGAGCUGUAUUCUGGGGGCAGGAUCAAGGUACUGGUGGUGGGCACUGGCCCUCCUGAACCCUCUGCAAAGUAGGGAACAGUGGCACCGGUAGAGAUGCACAAG